AGCCCAGAGCCUGAAUCAGUGUGUGUGUUAGUGGAAGCGUCUGGAAAGGCGCGCGAUACAGGGUGACAGCCCCGUACACAAAAAUGCACAUGCUGUGAGCUCGAUGAGUAGGGCGGGACACGUGGUAUCCUGUCUGAAUAUGGGGGGACCAUCCUCCAAGGCUAAAUACUCCUGACUGACCGAUAGUGAACCAGUACCGUGAGGGAAAGGCGAAAAGAACCCCGGCGAGGGGAGUGAAAAAGAACCUGAAACCGUGUACGUACAAGCAGUGGGAGCACGCUUAGGCGUGUGACUGCGUACCUUUUGUAUAAUGGGUCAGCGACUUAUAUUCUGUAGCAAGGUUAACCGAAUAGGGGAGCCGAAGGGAAACCGAGUCUUAACUGGGCGUUAAGUUGCAGGGUAUAGACCCGAAACCCGGUGAUCUAGCCAUGGGCAGGUUGAAGGUUGGGUAACACUAACUGGAGGACCGAACCGACUAAUGUUGAAAAAUUAGCGGAUGACUUGUGGCUGGGGGUGAAAGGCCAAUCAAACCGGGAGAUAGCUGGUUCUCCCCGAAAGCUAUUUAGGUAGCGCCUCGUGAAUUCAUCUCCGGGGGUAGAGCACUGUUUCGGCAAGGGGGUCAUCCCGACUUACCAACCCGAUGCAAACUGCGAAUACCGGAGAAUGUUAUCACGGGAGACACACGGCGGGUGCUAACGUCCGUCGUGAAGAGGGAAACAACCCAGACCGCCAGCUAAGGUCCCAAAGUCAUGGUUAAGUGGGAAACGAUGUGGGAAGGCCCAGACAGCCAGGAUGUUGGCUUAGAAGCAGCCAUCAUUUAAAGAAAGCGUAAUAGCUCACUGGUCGAGUCGGCCUGCGCGGAAGAUGUAACGGGGCUAAACCAUGCACCGAAGCUGCGGCAGCGACACUGUGUGUUGUUGGGUAGGGGAGCGUUCUGUAAGCCUGUGAAGGUGUGCUGUGAGGCAUGCUGGAGGUAUCAGAAGUGCGAAUGCUGACAUAAGUAACGAUAAAGCGGGUGAAAAGCCCGCUCGCCGGAAGACCAAGGGUUCCUGUCCAACGUUAAUCGGGGCAGGGUGAGUCGACCCCUAAGGCGAGGCCGAAAGGCGUAGUCGAUGGGAAACAGGUUAAUAUUCCUGUACUUGGUGUUACUGCGAAGGGGGGACGGAGAAGGCUAUGUUGGCCGGGCGACGGUUGUCCCGGUUUAAGCGUGUAGGCUGGUUUUCCAGGCAAAUCCGGAAAAUCAAGGCUGAGGCGUGAUGACGAGGCACUACGGUGCUGAAGCAACAAAUGCCCUGCUUCCAGGAAAAGCCUCUAAGCAUCAGGUAACAUCAAAUCGUACCCCAAACCGACACAGGUGGUCAGGUAGAGAAUACCAAGGCGCUUGAGAGAACUCGGGUGAAGGAACUAGGCAAAAUGGUGCCGUAACUUCGGGAGAAGGCACGCUGAUAUGUAGGUGAAG
Molecule: ribosomal RNA, 1459 nt
Filed under: Escherichia coli
Lineage: Bacteria; Pseudomonadati; Pseudomonadota; Gammaproteobacteria; Enterobacterales; Enterobacteriaceae
Description: partial 23S ribosomal RNA
Rfam family: Bacterial large subunit ribosomal RNA
Source: RNAcentral